Molecule: ribosomal RNA, 345 nt
Filed under: uncultured bacterium
Lineage: Bacteria
Description: bacterial SSU rRNA
Rfam family: Bacterial small subunit ribosomal RNA
Source: RNAcentral
GAAUUCACUAGUGAUUCACAUGCAAGUCGAGGGGUAGUUGUCUUCGGACAAUGAGAAAAAAACACGGGUGCGUAACGCGUAUGCAAUCUACCUUUUGCAGGGGAAUAGCCCAGAGAAAUUUGGAUUAAUGCCCCAUAGUAUAAUGAGUUGGCAUCAACAUAUUAUUAAAGUCACAACGGCAAAAGAUGAGCAUGCGUCCCAUUAGUUAGUUGGUAAGGUAACGGCUUACCAAGACGAUGAUGGGUAGGGGUCCUGAGAGGGAGAUCCCCCACACUGGCAAUGAGACACGGACCAGACUCCUACGGGAGGCAGCAGUGAGGAAUAUUGGACAAUGGGCGCAAGCCU